RNAcentral lists this long non-coding RNA (579 nucleotides) under Elaeis guineensis (African oil palm). RNAcentral describes it as "long non-coding RNA (EGUI_LNC038344)". Lineage: Eukaryota; Viridiplantae; Streptophyta; Magnoliopsida; Arecales; Arecaceae. The record is from RNAcentral.
CUGGGGUUUUGAUUAUACUUGGAGUAGAUCCGAGCUCAAAUGGAACUCCAAUAGUGAGGUCUUACCUAGAGACAAGGAGGCUUUUGGAGAACUGUUAGAUAUGAAGGUACCCAAGCUGAGCCUAUUGGUGUCUAAUUAGUCCUUGUUUGAAUCUGGCAUCAGUCAACUUUCUCCCUAAGGUAAGCUGAUGUCAAUUUUCAUUUAUCAACAUUCUUUCUUUCUCUUUUUCUCUCUUCUCUUUUUUUUUAAACCUUCUUCUCUUUAUAGUAGACAUCAUGAAGUUUGACCCGAAGAGGUUGGCAGAUGCAAAGAAAAAGAAACAAGAUGCUUUUGAUCAGCCUCCAAUGAAGAGGACCAAAGAAGCCAUUUGCUCUGACUACUAGAUCGACUGCCAUCUGAUCUCCUCCAACUUUUCGAGCUCUGAGAACAUUGACAAUAAGUGCUGCUUCGAUCUCAUCGGCACCCCCACCAGCAAAAUCAACAUCCAAAUCUCCACCUCGAUAGUCUACCAAGGUCCCUCGCCCACCUGCCAAGGACACUAUGCAACCAAGGCAGGGUUCUAUGCAAGCUCCACCCCCC